Molecule: non-coding RNA, 30 nt
Filed under: Rattus norvegicus (Norway rat)
Lineage: Eukaryota; Metazoa; Chordata; Mammalia; Rodentia; Muridae
Source: RNAcentral
UCCUGAAAGAGGUGCUUUGUAUUUCCAAAG